Molecule: ribosomal RNA, 1372 nt
Filed under: uncultured bacterium
Lineage: Bacteria
Description: bacterial SSU rRNA
Rfam family: Bacterial small subunit ribosomal RNA
Source: RNAcentral
GAUGAACGCUGGCGGCGUGCCUAAUACAUGCAAGUCGAGCGAACGGACGAGAAGCUUGCUUCUCUGAUGUUAGCGGCGGACGGGUGAGUAACACGUGGAUAACCUACCUAUAAGACUGGGAUAACUUCGGGAAACCGGAGCUAAUACCGGAUAAUAUUUUGAACCGCAUGGUUCAAAAGUGAAAGACGGUCUUGCUGUCACUUAUAGAUGGAUCCGCGCUGCAUUAGCUAGUUGGUAAGGUAACGGCUUACCAAGGCAACGAUGCAUAGCCGACCUGAGAGGGUGAUCGGCCACACUGGAACUGAGACACGGUCCAGACUCCUACGGGAGGCAGCAGUAGGGAAUCUUCCGCAAUGGGCGAAAGCCUGACGGAGCAACGCCGCGUGAGUGAUGAAGGUCUUCGGAUCGUAAAACUCUGUUAUUAGGGAAGAACAUAUGUGUAAGUAACUGUGCACAUCUUGACGGUACCUAAUCAGAAAGCCACGGCUAACUACGUGCCAGCAGCCGCGGUAAUACGUAGGUGGCAAGCGUUAUCCGGAAUUAUUGGGCGUAAAGCGCGCGUAGGCGGUUUUUUAAGUCUGAUGUGAAAGCCCACGGCUCAACCGUGGAGGGUCAUUGGAAACUGGAAAACUUGAGUGCAGAAGAGGAAAGUGGAAUUCCAUGUGUAGCGGUGAAAUGCGCAGAGAUAUGGAGGAACACCAGUGGCGAAGGCGACUUUCUGGUCUGUAACUGACGCUGAUGUGCGAAAGCGUGGGGAUCAAACAGGAUUAGAUACCCUGGUAGUCCACGCCGUAAACGAUGAGUGCUAAGUGUUAGGGGGUUUCCGCCCCUUAGUGCUGCAGCUAACGCAUUAAGCACUCCGCCUGGGGAGUACGACCGCAAGGUUGAAACUCAAAGGAGUUGACGGGGACCCGCACAAGCGGUGGAGCAUGUGGUUUAAUUCGAAGCAACGCGAAGAACCUUACCAAAUCUUGACAUCCUUUGACAACUCUAGAGAUAGAGCUUUCCCCUUCGGGGGACAAAGUGACAGGUGGUGCAUGGUUGUCGUCAGCUCGUGUCGUGAGAUGUUGGGUUAAGUCCCGCAACGAGCGCAACCCUUAAGCUUAGUUGCCAUCAUUAAGUUGGGCACUCUAAGUUGACUGCCGGUGACAAACCGGAGGAAGGUGGGGAUGACGUCAAAUCAUCAUGCCCCUUAUGAUUUGGGCUACACACGUGCUACAAUGGACAAUACAAAGGGCAGCGAAACCGCGAGGUCAAGCAAAUCCCAUAAAGUUGUUCUCAGUUCGGAUUGUAGUCUGCAACUCGACUACAUGAAGCUGGAAUCGCUAGUAAUCGUAGAUCAGCAUGCUACGGUGAAUACGUUCCCGGGUCU